GGAAUCUUCGACAAUGGACGAAAGUCUGACCGAGCAACGCCGCGUGAGUGAAGAAGGUUUUCGGAUCGUAAAACUCUGUUGGUAGAGAAGAACGUUGGUGAGAGUGGAAAGCUCAUCAAGUGACGGUAACUACCCAGAAAGGGACGGCUAACUACGUGCCAC
Molecule: ribosomal RNA, 162 nt
Filed under: uncultured bacterium
Lineage: Bacteria
Description: partial 16S rRNA
Rfam family: Bacterial small subunit ribosomal RNA
Source: RNAcentral